Molecule: long non-coding RNA, 5904 nt
Filed under: Solanum tuberosum (potato)
Lineage: Eukaryota; Viridiplantae; Streptophyta; Magnoliopsida; Solanales; Solanaceae
Description: long non-coding RNA (STUB_LNC005157)
Source: RNAcentral
AGAAGAAGAGGAAGAAAUUAACAGUGACUCCAUCGACGGCGAACAAGUAUCUGUGAAGAAGAUGAAGACGAAGGGUAGAAUUAUAUGUAUGAUUAAUUUGCAUUUUGCACCUUGAAGCAUAUACAUUUGCUUUUAUUUGCAUCUUUUAAAAAAAAUAUAAAAUAAAUGAAUGUUUAACAUGUUUUAUUGUGAAAUUUGAAAAUAAAAUAAUUUUUUUUAAAAGUAAAAUAAAAUUCAAAAAUUAAAAUUGUGUUUAAUCAUGAGUAUAAAUUAAAGUUGUUUUUUUUUUUUUUGAGUAAUUUGAAGUGAAAAAAUGUAAAAAUACUUUUUUUUUAAUUUCAAAUUCUUGAAAAUUUUAAAAUUCAUAAUUUAAGUAUUAAGUAUUUUUCGGAGUUCAACUUUUAAAAAAAAUAUCAUAUCCGAACACCUCUUUGUAAAGCUAUAAAAAAGUGGUUUAUUUCAAUUAUUUAUGAGGAUAAAUUAUGAUUUCGAGUCAAUAUGAGAACAAAGGUGAAAUUGGAGAGGGUAAAAAUAAAAUAAAAUUAUGAGGGUAAAUUAAGGAAUUAGAAUUAAGAAAAAUAAAAAAUAAAAGCAUUAUUAGAUAAAAGUUUUUUUCGUUACAUUACAUAUAUCAAAGUAUUAAAUAAAAAAAAAGGGAAAAGGGUCAUACACACAUAUUUGCCUCUCUACUUUAGGCAAUAACAUGAGAACGUGACAUUUAAAGCACAAAAAUCUUGUAAAGUCGGAUAAUAUAAAUGAAACUGAAUUUCAUAUAAUAGAAAGUAGAAGCGAUGGAUAUGUGUGUUUGAAUUCAUUCAUGUGUCUAAUAAACUUCAACCAAAAGAGAAACUUGUAAUAGCUAAAUCAAACUUUUUGCCUUAAUCGAUAUAAGUUCUAUAAAAAUUAAGUAGCAUAACUUAUUAUGUCUUUAUAUUACAACUAGUAAAAUUACCUGUGUUUCGAUCGAGAAUUUAAUAUUACGAAAUUUAUAAAAUAACACUUAAAAUCUAUCAGUCAUUAAAACUAAAACACUAUAUUAUCUUAUAUACAAGAUUACGUAUUAACAAACAUUAAUAAUGUAGAGGAAAAUGAAAAUUAUUACAUCUUCUCAUUUAUCCUUAAUAGCAUAAGUAUAAAUUAAUGACUGUAAAAAUACAUACCAGGAUCUGUAACAUAAUCAAUGGUGUCAGUAAGCCACUCAAUCGGAGCAAAGUACACAAAUAUUUAAUUGUGAAGAAGAAGAGGAGGUUCAGAAUUUUCAUUGUUUUAAAAUGAGAAGUACAUACCAGGAUCUGUAACAUAAUCAAUGGUGUCAGUAAGCCACUCAAUCGGAGCAAAGUACACAAAUAUUUAAUUGUGAAGAAGAAGAGGAGGUUCAGAAUUUUCAUUGUUUUAAAAUGAGAAGAAAUUUCUCUAUUUAUAGACAACAAAGGGUAGUGUGAACAAAUGUUUAUUGUGCCUUAUCGGAAAUGUUACAACUAUUUGGAAAAGUUGCAACCUUUCGGAAAUGUCACAAUCUUUCAUAAAAAGUCACAACUUUUCAUAAAAGUCGUAACUCUUCAUUAAAGUUGCAACUUUUCAUGAAAGGGGAAGACUAGUUUUGGGAAUAAAUAAAAAGGAAAUUCUGGUUUGUGGUGGCACCACGUAGGCGGGCCUAAGGCUCUUUUAUAUAUAUAUAUAUGAUAUGAAAACAUAAACUUAUGUCGCCUAGUAUCUUUUUGGAAAGGAUAGAGCCCAAAACAAAAACAAAAAAAAUUAAUUUCUCAUUUGAUGUCUUGUAUUCAUAAUGAAGCCCGAUUAAAAUGUUAAAUAGUAAAACACUCACUAAUAAAGACGAUUCUAUACCAAAAAGAACUCAAACCUAAAAUGAAAAUAUACUUAUCCCUUGACCACAAGGCCCGAAACAAAAUAUAGUACUCCCUCUAUCUCAAUUUAUGUGACUUACUUUCCAUUUUAGUUAGUCCAAAAAAAAAUUGACACAUUUCUAUAUUAAGUAACAAUUUAAUUAUAAAAUAUAUAUUUUACCCUUAAUGAAAUGAUUUACAGUCACACAAUUUUCUAUCAUUUAUUUUGAAUCACAAGUUUUAAAAGUCUUUUUUUUAAUUUUUAAACUCAGUGCUGAAUCAAACAAUCUCAUAUAAAAUGAGACGGAGGAAGUAGUACUUAUUUUAGGACGUGCUCAAUAGACAAUAAACAAACUUGUUAGUUGUUUCUCUUCCGACUCCAAAUUGAGCAAAAGCCGUAUUGUUUCACAAUUAUGUCAAUUUUCUUCCUUUCAUGUCAGCCAAUUCGUUAAGGAAAUUACUCAGCAAGUUUGAGUUCCUCUUCUCCGUACCAUUUGACUUGCCUACUUCUGCCAUUGCCGACCAGCCAUUCCUCCAUUUCAGCUAUCUUUUAAGCUCAUGUCAUUCCCUCCCAGCCCUCAAACAGUUACAUACUCUGGUCUUGACAACUGGUUACCACAAAAACCUCCUAAUAUGCACGAAGAUUGUAUCUUUAGGUUGUUUUUUAUCGCCCACAAUGGACUAUGCACGAAAACUGUUCGACCAAAUGCCUCAAAGAGAUGUCUUUGCUUGGAACACCUUGAUUCGGGGAUAUUCCAAUCUGGGUCCUUGUCAAGAAUCCAUAUUUCUUUAUAAAGAGAUGCAUUUACAGGGAAUUUUACCUGAUAACUAUACAUUCCCUUUUGUACUUCGUUCUUGCUCUGUGUUGUCAGCUUUGAGGGAAGGUAGGGAAAUACAUUGUAACAUAAUUAAACAUGGGUUUGAAUCUGAUGUGUUUGUGCAGAGUUCUUUGAUUACUCUGUAUGCGCAGAGCGGGGAGACUUUGGAUUCGGAGUUGGUGUUUGAUCAAAUGAGAGUGAGGAAUAUAGUUUCUUGGACUGCGAUGAUUGCAGGGUAUGUGCAAAAUGGAAUUCCUGAGAAGGGAUUAGGAGUUUUUCUCAAAAUGGUUGAUUCGGGUACUCUACCUAAUGCUAUUACUUUGGUGAGUGUGCUUCCUGCUUGUGCGCGGUUGGAUUGUUUGGAUUUGGGAAUGUUGAUUCAUGGCUAUAGUAUUAAGUUAGGGGUGGAAACAGAUGUAUCACUAGUUAAUGCUUUGGUUGCAUUCUAUGGGAAGUGUGGACUAGUUGAUGUCGCUUGGUCUUUGUUUGAUCAAAUGAAGGAGCAUAGUGUGGUUUCAUGGAAUGCAAUAAUUGCUGCUUAUGAGCAAAAUGAUGUUGGUUCCUCCCCAAUAAAGCUAUUUCAUAGAAUGCUAGGUCAAGGGGUAGAGUUCGAUUAUAUUACAGUAGUUACUGUUAUUUCAGCUUGUGCCAGGUUGGGGGCACUAGGUACUGGAAAAUGGAUUCAUGAGCUUGUCAAAAGCAAAGGUUUGGAAUGCAAUGUUCCAAUCACAAAUGCACUUAUCGAUAUGUAUGCAAAAUGUGGGAGUAUAGAGUCGGCAAGAGAUGUUUUUGACAGGUUGCCUAGUAGAAGUGUGGUUUCCUGGUCAUCAAUUAUAGGGGCUUGUGCUUCACAUGGUCAUGGGAGAGAAGCUCUUGAGUUGUUUUCAAGGAUGAAAGAAGAAGGAGUCCCACCUAAUAGCUUCACCUUCACUGCUGUAUUGACAGCUUGUCGACAUUCAGGUCUUGUCGAGGAAGGGAGGAGGCACUUUGAGAGCAUGAGAAUGGAAUACUCGAUAGUGCCAGGGGUGGAGCAAUGUGCUUGUAUGGUGGAUCUUCUAGGACGAUCAGGACAACUUCUUGAGGCUUAUGAAUUUAUAGAGAACAUGCCUAUUGAGCCUGAUGCAGAUGUUUGGGGAGCUUUGCUUGGUGCUUGCAGAAUUCAUGGCAAUCUUGAGAUGGCAGAAUAUGUAGCAGAUCGACUAUUUGAUUUCAAUCCCCAGGCAGUUCCUUUCUACAUACUCAUGAAAAAUAUCUAUGCUGAAGCCGGAAGGUGGGAUGAUGUAGCUAGGUUGAAAUUUUUGUUGGAAGAAUUGGAAGUGGAAAAGAUUCCUGGCAAAAGUUCAGUUGAGAUAAAUCGACGGAUUCACACGUUUUUGUCUGGGUCAAGGAUUUCAAACUUCUCAAGAGUUCCACCCCGUGAAUAUGUUCAACUGAAGUAUUAGCAAGCAGCAUUUUAAGUAGGCGUUUGGCCAUAGAUUCCAAAACUUUUUCACUUUAUUUGGAGUUUAUGGAGUUUGAGUUGCUUGGUUAUACUUCUUGCAAAGACUAUUUGGAAUAAUGUUCACGUAUGAAUUUACUUAAAUAUUACUUCAAAAGUGAAAAUUGAGUUUGAAAACAGGCCAAACUUCAAGUUGGAUUUGGUAUUUUUCAUAGCCAAACACUACUGUUCCAAAUAAAGUGAAAGUGUUCCGGAAAAAAGUGAAUAAUUUUAUGGCCAAACGGUUUACUCCUGUUGUUGUUUAAGCAUUAGGUUGUUGUUGUUGAGUACUAUUAUCAAUUACUGUCAAUUGAAGAAUGCUUUUGCAGCUUGGUCAUCCUGGACUUUUGAGCCAGAGACCUUGGCUGUCAAGUACAUCACACCUAUGUCCAAACAAUUAGAAGAAAUUCAAUAGAUUCCCUUUUGAGAGCAAAGUUAUCCUUUCCGAAAGCAACAUAAUUGUACUGCGCUCUCCAACUAUGCUUGUGCAGAUUGGGCAAAUUUGAUGGUUAUCUAUGGAAUAUUAACUUAGGUGGGGAGAAUGUAGAUGAUUGUAAGAUUCAUCAUCUCGAUCUUCCAACUGGCUUCUGUUCACCAGAGUUUGAAUCUCUGAUCGUAAAGUUUUACCCGUUGUGUUAACUAGGUAAGUUCUAUUUUUUGCUGUUUGUUGUAGAUGCAUGGAGGUAGAAUUUGUAUUUGUUGUAAUUUUCGUGAUUUGAAGGGCACAUAUAAGGAAAAUGUGGAGCUUUAACUGGAAGAUUGAAUUUUUUGUGCGGCUUCAUUUUGCUGGAGAUUGAGUCUCCUAUUUAGCUUUUUUAUGUGAAUUGCUGAUUGCUUUAUUAGUUGAAAUUGUGCUUAUAAAGAUGCAUAGAUGGAGAUAGAAUUUGGUUUGUUUUUGUGAUUUUUAUUUUCUUCAAUGGUAAUCUGUUUUAGGAUGUAUGGCCUCCGACUUGACUUUCUGCUUCAUUUCCUCAUCUCAAUCUUCAGAAUGGCUUCCUUUUGUCCGAGAUUGAAUAUUUAAUCGAAUGUUAUCCAUAUUUAUAUUUGUAUUCAAGAGUUCAUAUUUGUAAUUGUUUUUGAUACACAGAGGUAGAAUUUUUGUUAUUUACUGUAAUUUUCAUGAUUGAUUGACUGGCUGCUUAUAAGAAAAUGUGGUUUCGAACAGGUUGCUGUGUUGAAGAAGAAACGAAGAUGCUCAAUCUCAGCUUGAGGCAAAAACAGAAGAGUGAUGAUGCAGCAAAAUGUCUUCAAGAUGAAAUCCACAGAAUUAAGACUCAAAAGAUACUAAUACACUUCCGAAUAUAAAAGAAAAUUUCUUUCUUUUUUUCGGAAACUGGUAAGGUCGUAUUCCUCAGAACAGGGCGGGAUUGAUUGAUCUACAUAAAAAAUUCUGGCUUCCCUUCCAGGUAUUAGUGCUGGAGACCAUCAAAAAACAAGCAAAUCUACAAGUUCCGUCUCCUCUUUGCACCAAAAGUAAACAGAUAUCAUGCAAUUCUAUUUUACUAUCUGAAUGGAAUUGGACCUAUCUUCAAAGCUUCUGUAAUUCCUCUCCCUCCACACAGUCCACCAGAUGCAAUGUGGAAUUAUUCUCCACCAUCACUUCUGGCUCUUGCUUCCUCUUUUAAUCCAACAACUCAACAAAUCUGCAAUAUGCUUAGGUAUGUCCACUUUGUGUCUGGGAGACAAAAAUAAACAUGACAUAGCUAUGCAGAGAAUCUGCAGUGCUAAAAAGGGUGACUAUUGGUCUCUUCAUCUUUCCCACAUA